CAAACAAGGGAGAAAGGAAGGGUAUGGAGUUCUUGUUAGAAACAACAGGACUAUCAUUAACCUGACAUGUUAUAUGUUCUACACAAAAAGGAGCAUUCGUUAUUGCAUACCUUCUAGAUAAAUCUAUUAUAUAGGGGCUUAACUGAAGCUUCUCCACUGCUUUUGUCUUUGUGUUUGUUCCACUGCCUCGCUGCUGCAGACAUCAAGCGGGUGAUUUAAAACCACACAGGGCCUGGGGAAGCCACAUCUUUCUCGCCCACCACUGCAAUUGAUGGAGCUCACUGAGGGAACCCUCCCCCAGCUCGGUUCCUGGGAUGUCUCUGGUUCCCAGGAGGAAAUGCCAUAAGACAUGGUGGCUGGAGCCACGGCCAAUUACAUAACUGUCCAUGCUGAGGGAGACCAGACUCUAAUCUUUGGCCUGCAGAUGUUCAACAGGCGCCUAUCAACCUGCAACUGAUCAUUAUUCAUGGCUGACUGCUCUUCCAUCUUCACAUUCAUUAGACGAAACCCAGACUCUGCGAUAGAUAUGAGACCUGUCUGGGAUGCUUCAAUACCCCCUGCCCAGUGCAUGAUGGGAAAACCUCUGGCCGGUGGCGUGCACAGACUCUCUGUGCG
Molecule: long non-coding RNA, 615 nt
Organism: Sander lucioperca (pikeperch)
Lineage: Eukaryota; Metazoa; Chordata; Actinopteri; Perciformes; Percidae
Exons: 3
Source: RefSeq, a predicted model, not a curated record